Molecule: long non-coding RNA, 581 nt
Organism: Sphaeramia orbicularis (orbiculate cardinalfish)
Lineage: Eukaryota; Metazoa; Chordata; Actinopteri; Kurtiformes; Apogonidae
Exons: 2
Source: RefSeq, a predicted model, not a curated record
AUUUUUUCUGGAUCCACCACUGCUUUACUUACAAGAAUGCAAUGUGACUUGUGAUUAUGGUUGAUAAGCUGUUGAGAACAAUUGUAUCAGUACCCAUAUCCAGUGUACCUUAAAUCACCUUUAUAUGAUGAUUUAGUAUAAAAUGGUGGUAAAACAGGGCAAUGUGUUCCAUUGCUUAACAAAUUUUGGAACAAUUUUUCAGUAGUUCAGGCUCUUCAGAAAUAUCAGCAGACUUUUUUGUAUAACUGCUGCACUGGAAAAACAGAAACAAGUGUUUUAAUGAAGCUCCAAUGACAUUUGUAAAACAAUGUAUGAUUUUAAUAUGUGGAGACAGUUAUGAAUUAAUUAGUUACUGACUAUUAAAUUAAUAGACAACUAUUUUGAUCAUUGGAUUGAGUUUUAAAAAAUUCUCAGACUACAGCUUCUUAAAUGUGAAUAUUCUAUAGUGUUUUUCCUCCUCUGUGUCAUUUGAUGCUAUCUUUUGCUUUUUCACAAUUCUCUGAAAUUUUGUAGACCAAGUAAUGAAACAGUUAAUCAAGGAGCUAGUCAACAGAUUAAUGAAAAUAAAUGUUACUUUCAGC